CCCAGAGGGUGGCCGGCAGCCUCUGCAUCUCCACCCUGGGCCUGUGGGACCACGCGGGGCUCUCAGACGGCUUCCCACUGGCUGUGGGCUGAAGACAGGAGGGAGGUGCGCAGAGAUGAGGAUGAGGUGCCCUAGGAGGGGCCCCUCUCCAGCCUGGAGUGUCCACUGCAAGUGGAGUCCUAGACGGCGGUGGGCAGCCAGUAGUCACUAAAGAGUCUGACACGACAUGUCACAAGCCCUGCCCGGAACCCUGUUCCCACAAAUGGUGGGGAAGGACCACCCCUGGUCUCCAGAAAUGAAUCUGAAAAUUCGCUGGUUUGGGAGCCGUGAGAGCAGCUCCGUCAUUUGUUCGACCCCCGUUCAGGGAGUAUUUCCUGGGAGCCUCUAAGUGCAUCUGCGGAGAAGGCUGGAAAGCAGGGCCCUGCUGGUCCAGAAGCUCUGACAAGCAGCGGGAAGCUACUGGAGCCCAGCGUGGUCCCGCAGGCCCGGGGUGGAGACUCAGGGGCUGGUCGGUGCCACUCGUGGUCCCCCAGGCCAGAGCAGCCCAGGCCUCUGCUGGAAACUCAAGCGCUCUCUGAUUUAAAUGAAGACGCCUUGAAGAGCUCCGGCUGUCCUGGAUGGAUGAAGCAGCAUAGGCAUGACUUGGAAGGAUGUGCGGUGGAAGGGGGGUCGCUUCACUGCCAAGAAACCCUUCCUGAGUCUUCUGGAAAUUUCAGGAAAGGCUGCUCAUCCCAGGAGGCUGAAAAAGUAUGGCUGUGUGUUGGGUGGGCCUAAUGCAGGGCAGCGGCCAGGCUGGCACUCAAGUGUGUGUGUGUGUAUGUGAGUGUGAGUGCAAGAGUGUGUGUGUCUGUCUGUGAGUGUGUGAGACUGUGUGUGACUGUGUGUCUGUGUGUGAGAGUGUGUCUAUGAGUGUAUGUCUGUAAGAGUGUAUGUAUGAGUGUGUGACAGUGUGUGUGAGCAUAUGUGAGUAUGUAUGUGUGUCUGUGAAAGUGUGAGUGUGAGUGAGCAUGAGUGCGUGUCUGUGAGAGUGUGUAUGUGAGAGUGUGUUGUGUCUGUGAGAGCAUGUGUGUGAACGUGUUUAUGUAUGUGAGUGUGUAUGCAUCUGUGAGUGUGUCUGUGAAAGUGUGUGUGAGGAUGAGUGUGUGUCUGUGAGCAUGUGUCUGUGAGAGCAUGUGUGUAUGUGUGUGAGUGUGUAUGUAUCUGUGAGUGCGUCUGUGAAUGUGUAUAUGAGUGAGCAGGAGUGUGUGUGUGGUCUGUGAGUGUGUGAGCGUGUGAGAGUAUGUAUUUGAUUGUGUAUCUGAGACUGUGCAAGUGUGUGUGUGCCUGUGUGCAAGUGUGAGUGUGUGUGUCUGUGUGUAAGUGUGAGUGUGUGUGAGUUUGUGUGUUCAUAUGUGAGUUUAUCUUCCGUGAGAAUUUUAGGCGAAACUGAGGAGAACCGCAGUCAUCUGACGUUGUCAUGAUGGCUGAAGUCCAGGUCUCAGAUCUGGGUGGAAGCACUGGGUCUGAAUAGUGACCAUCUCAUCACAGUUGUCUCCUGAGACUCCCAUUCCCGGGAAGGAGAGUACUUGCCAGGGAAGCCAGCAGCACUCUGGGCGAACGUGUGCCCCUCAAGAGUGGCCGCAGGCUGUAGCAGGAUCCAGAGGAGAGGCGGGGCCGAGGCCCAGUCAGGGUCUCUGCAGGGUCCCUGCAGAGGCAGGGCCUCUGGGAGCCUGGGGGACCCGGGACAGGGAGGUGAAGGAGGAGUAACAGCAGGUGCGAGGCACCAAUGGCCAAUGUGGAAAUUAUGAGUGGGCGCUCCAGCUUCGUCUGCUGAGACCUCUCGCUCACUUCUCUGCGUCUUCACCCUUCCCCUCCUCCCCGGCGCCCCUGCCCUCUGUUAAUGCCAUUAACAGUGGGCGUUAUGUGUGGCACGGCAAGGCCAUGCUCUAAAACACGCGCCUGGGUCCUGAUGAGCCUGCGCUCUCCCUGUGUUUUGGGCGCUGCCUUCAGAGCAUGUUGGUAGUGAGAUGUGGAAGGCCACGCAGCUGUAGUGCACUCACUGUCGCAGCCUAACGGUGCCACACGGACCCGUAAGAGGACGCACAACUGUCAGCUGACUCCGUCACUGGGAAAAACAACACGGGUACAUUGUCUGCGAUUGCUGUCACUCUGAUACAUGAGAAAUACAUGGGAGGGAGUUUGAAAUGACAUUGAAUGAACUUGAGCAUACCUGGUCUUUGGCCUACUUUCCUACAGGGUCUCACUCUGCUGCCUAGGCUGCAAUGCGGUGGCACGACCAUGGCUCAGUGCGUCCUCAACUCCUGGGCUCAAGUGAUCCUCCCACCUCGGCCUCCUGAGUAGCUGGGACUACAGUUGCACACCACCAGAUCCGACUAAUUUGCAGUUCUGUCCGGCGUACAGUGUGAGAUGGGAAUCAACUUUUGUCUUCAUCCAGAUGGUAAAUUAAAUGUUAUUUAUGAAAAAUCCAUUGCUUAAGGUAGUGAUCUGAGAAGCGAAGUUUACCAAUGGCUCAAUAGCGAUUUGAGAAGCGAACUUUACCGAUGACUCAAUGCGUGUUUUACUUUGGUCCUGGGCUUUCUACUCUCACCUCAUGUCUGGUCUGUAUGGCGGGUCUGACACCGUGGGAUGCAGAGAUACAAAUCUGCCUGCCUGUCGCCUCCUCUCAUGGAAACGGUGCAUAGCUCGCCUUUCAUGAUUUAUAAAGUCAAAGCCUUUUUAACUUAGGUAACUAUUAUUAAAGGUAAAGUGUUGUCAAAAUUACAGGGAUCCUUUGGUUAAUGCUGGGGAGAAAAUCAUAAAAUCAUGAAGUUUUUGGAAUAAAUUAUUUCCUCAGACUUUGAGAUAGACAUUUUAGCCACUACACAUUGGCUCAGCCAAUAUUGUGGAAUUCUCUAUUUCUUGCUUAUUAGACAAACGUUGAAUUUUCUUUUCAUGUCUGAAUUAUUAUUUUUUCUUCCCUCCAUACAAGGCAUUCCCUCUAUUAACUCUUAUUCAUUGCUGACACUGCAAGGUAUUUCAGAUUGGGAAAUAGUUGUAAAAAUAAAGACAAUGUAUUAGAAGGGAACAACUGUUGAAAUAUUACUUUAAGCAGAAGUCACAGACUAUAGUUUAUCUUCUUCUAUUAAUAAAAUGAGAUGCUUUCCCUCGACAAAAGCAGUACCAAGUUGAAGAGGGUCACGGCUUUCCAGCCGAGAGUGAAACAGUUUGAGCAAUGCAGCGUGCAGGCUCGCGGGAGGGGCGCUCCGUCUCCCCAGAGCACAGCUGGGAGGUUCCCGCAUGCAGCCCAGGCUUGAUCUCCUCCUGGUGAGAGGGGACCGGCUCCAGGGCAGGCAGGGGAGGCCCGUCCAUCACUCACAGUGAGAUUUUGGCCUACUGUGGUUUCUAGGGAAAUAAAUCUCUUCUUCCAGUCCCUGAAAGAACAUAACCCAUGCUUCCAAAUGACUUAAAACAAUUCAGGUUUCAUUGAAAAGAAAAUAUGUUUAACAUUAUAUGAUUUUCGCUUUUUUAGAGACUUUUAUGUCAGUGAGAGGGAGAACACAAAUGCUGAUUUAAGGAAGUGUUGAAGGGCAUUUCCCCAAGUUGUUCUUUUCCUCUGAGGUAAUAUUUGAAUUUCUAAAAAAUAUCAACUUUAGUGUGCAUUUUUUGUGACUUCUUUUAAUACUAUUGGCAACAAACUCAUUGCUUUCUGAAGAAUAAAGGAAAAUAUCAUACUUUGAGUUAAAAAUGAUAGUUUUUCAUGGUGUAUAUUUGUGUGAUUACAUUUUAUUUCAUUUGUUCCUUAAAUCCCUUGUCUUAUGCCAAAAAUAGAUACAUUUAAUUUUGGAAAAAAAAGAGAAUUAACCCCCCACAGACAUCAAUCUGAAAGCAGAAUUUCCUUUUAUUAAAGCAAAAAGUUCCCAAGCAUGAGGCUGUAUGUUGAGCGAACACCUUUGACUGCUCUAAUUUCUCACUUCUCAAGAUUUCCUGAACUCGAUGGGGGACAAAAAGACCAAAACCAAACUUUGGAGGAAAUAAAAUUAAUAAUUUUUUUCUCUAAAGAAAACAUACUGAGCAUAUAUCUGUAUACGGUGCUAGUGACAAUCUUAUAAACCUCAAAAGACAACAAUUUUGCUUUCUUUUCUUUGUGCACAGGGGUUUUAAAACCUUACAAUGCUGGCCGGACGCGGUGGCUCAUGCCUGUAAUCCCAACACUUUGGGAGGUUGAGGCAGGUGGAUCACCUGAGGUCAGGAGUUCAAGACCAGCCUGGCCAACAUGGUAAAACCCAUCUCUACUAAAACUACAAAAAUUAGCCAGGCAUAGUGGCGAGUGUCUGUAGUCCCAGCUACUCGGGAGGCUGAGGCAGGAGAAUCGCUUGAACCCAGGAGAUGGAGGUUGCAGUGAGCCAAGCAAGAUCAAGCUACUGCACUCCAGCCUGGGCAACAGAGCGAGACUCCAUCUCAAAACAAACAAACAAACAGAAAAACUUUACAAUGCUGAUAAACUUAAAAAUUAUGAAACACAGCUCUUCUUGUCCUCCUGGGGCGCCCCCCAUCACCCCCAUCACAGCCCAGCCUUCUUCUGCUCCUCUCUGUUCUGAGGGAACUUCCCAUCCUUGUCUUUUUAUGGCCGUCUCAGCAUUUUCCCAGGUGUGUGGCUGUCCCUAAGUUAACCCCGGUUUAGCACACGGGAUGUGAUGCUGAGUGAUGGGAGUUCCUCAGAUAAAAGUGGCGGAUCUUCUUUGACUCAUCUUUUCCUUCCUCCCUCUCUAUCUCAAAUUAGAGUGAGAUCAAAUAUAGUGAAAAUGUUACUAGAGACUUUGGGUUUUAAAUCUCUGUAAACCCAGUGAAACACACUAUUUCUGGGGUGUGCACGAUGUGGUCAGUUAGUUACAAAUGCCUUUUUAUCUAGUGAGAGGUGUUUGGGCAAUCCAUGUGCACACAGAGGAGCGUUUCUGGUGAUUUGAUCAAAUCCAAGUGAGCUAGCUCGUUAGUACCUGUGGCAAGUUUAGAACUUCUGAACUCACAAACAUAUUAAGAAAUUUCCUAGGUUCACAGUGAUUUUUGGUAAACAUGAAUUUAAGUACCAAAAGAGGCAGAAUAAUAGUUUGCAAAGUUGUGUUUCCUUUGAGCUUCUGACUCAAAAGUUACAUCAAAGAUGUCCCUGCCUACCCUUAAUAUUUAAGUAAUGGAAUAAAGCUUAAGGGCCCCGAGACUCAGGAGGAUGCCCACAGGGAGAGGCAGGUAGCGCAGCACCUGGCAUUUAGUGGCUCAGCCCUGGAAUGCUAGAGCCUUGGGUUUUCCUUACAAUUGGGAUGGGAUUGGCCACACCUAUCAACAAUUUCUGUUCACUAGCCAAUUAUAAGAAGUUUAUGCAUGCCUAGACCAUUAAAAAAAAAGAAAAGAAACGUUCGGGGGGCCUGACUUUGUUAGCAUGGCCAAAUGAUCUGUUUUUAAUGUAAAUAUUUUGCUACAUUAAAGUUAUCAAAUCAAAG
Molecule: long non-coding RNA, 5471 nt
Filed under: Homo sapiens (human)
Lineage: Eukaryota; Metazoa; Chordata; Mammalia; Primates; Hominidae
Description: HSALNT0083436
Source: RNAcentral